RNAcentral lists this unclassified non-coding RNA (19 nucleotides) under Chlamydomonas reinhardtii. Its description in RNAcentral is "small RNA Cre_0607". The record is from RNAcentral. Lineage: Eukaryota; Viridiplantae; Chlorophyta; Chlorophyceae; Chlamydomonadales; Chlamydomonadaceae.
AGGUUCUUGGCCUUAUGGC